AGGCACGAUCAUACCAGCACUAAUGCAUCGGAUCCCAAUAGAACUCCGCAGUUAAGCGUGCUUGGGCGAGACUAGUACUAGGAUGGGUGACCUCCUAGGAAGUCCUUGUGUUGCACCUCUUUUUUCCAAAAUUUCUUGUUCUUUUUGUUAAUUAGCGUAAUUUUACGUCGUUUUUGAAAAAUAAACUUUGAUUGUAUUUCAUUUUUUUCCGUUAAUUUACGCAACCUAAAACUCUAUACGUUAAUUAGCGUAGUUUGACGUCUUUUUUGAAAAAUAAACUUAGAAAUGCAUUUAUACAAUUACAACGCUUUACUCUCAGGUGCGAUCAUACCAGCACUAAUGCAUCGGAUCCCAUCAGAACUCCGCAGUUAAGCGUGCUUGGGCGAGAGUAAUACUAGGAUGGGUGACCUCCUAGGAAGUCCUUGUGUUGCACCUCUUUUUUCCAAAAUUUCUUGUUCUUUUUGUUAAUUAGCGUAAUUUUACGUCGUUUUUGAAAAAUAAACUUUGAUUGUAUUUCAUUUUUUUCCGUUAAUUUACGCAACCUAAAACUCUAUACGUUAAUUAGCGUAGUUUGACGUCUUUUUUGAAAAAUAAACUAAGAAAUGCAUUUAUACAAUUACAACGCUUUACUCUCAGGUGCGAUCAUACCAGCACUAAUGCAUCGGAUCCCAUCAGAACUCCGCAGUUAAGCGUGCUUGGGCGCGAGUAGUACUAGGAUGGGUGACCUCCUGGGAAGUCCUUGUGUUGCACCUCUUUUUGCCAAAAUUUUACGUCGUUUUUGAAAAAUAAACUUCGAUUGUAUUUCAUUUUUUCCGUUAAUUUACGCAACCUAAAACUCUAUUCGUUAAUUAGCGUAGUUUGACGUCUUUUUUGAAAAAUAAACUUAGAAAUGCAUAUAUACAAGUACAACGCUUUACUCUCAGGUGCGAUCAUACCAGCACUAAUGCACCGGAUCCCAUGAGAACUCCGUAGUUAAGCGUGCUUGGGCAAGAGUAGUACUAGGAUGGGUGACCUCCUGGGAAGUCCUUGUGUUGCACCUCUUUUUGCCAAAAUUUCUUGUUCUUUUUGUUAAUUAGCGUAAUUUUACGUCGUUUUUGAAAAAUAAACUUCGAUUGUAUUUCAUUUUUCCGUUAAUUUACGCAACCUAAAACUCUAUUCGUUAAAUAGCGUAGUUUCACGUCUUUUUUGAAAAAUAAACUUUGAAAUGCAUAUAUACAAUUACAACGCUUUACUCUCAGGUGCGAUCAUACCAGCACUAAUGCACCGGAUCCCUUUAGAACUCCGCAGCUAAGCGUGCUUGGGCGAGAGUAGUACUAGGAUGGGUGACCUCCUGUGAAGUCCUUGUGUUGCACCUCUUUUUGCCAAAAUUUUACGUCGUUUUUGAAAAAUAAACUUCGAUUGUAUUUCAUUUUUUCCGUUAAUUUACGCAACCUAAAACUCUAUUCGUUAAUUAGCGUAGUUCGACGUCUUUUUUGAAAAAUAAACUUAGAAAUGCAUAUAUACAAUUACAGCGCUUUACUCUCAGGUGCGAUCAUACCAGCACUAAUGCACCGGAUCCCAUCAGAACUCCGCAGUUAAGCUAGCUUGGGCGAGAGUAGUACUAGGAUGGGUGACCUCCUGGGAAGUCCUUGUGUUGCACCUCUUUUUGCCAAAAUUUUACGUCAUUUUUGAAAAAUAAACUUCGAUUGUAUUUCAUUUUUUCCGUUAAUUUACGCAACCUAAAACUCUAUUCGUUAAUUAGCGUAGUUUGACGUCUUUUUUUAAAAAUAAACUUAGAAAUGCAUAUAUACAAGUACAACGCUUUACUCUCAGGUGCGAUCAUACCAGCACUAAUGCACCGGAUCCCAUCAGAACUCCGCAGUUAAGCGUGCUUGGGCGAGAGUAAUACUAGGAUGGGUGACCUCCUAGGAAGUCCUUGUGUUGCACCUCU
This 1930-nucleotide long non-coding RNA is filed under the name Medicago truncatula (barrel medic). Lineage: Eukaryota; Viridiplantae; Streptophyta; Magnoliopsida; Fabales; Fabaceae. The record is from RNAcentral.